UACGUAGGGUGCAAGCGUUAAUCGGAAUUACUGGGCGUAAAGCGUGCGCAGGCGGUUAUGUAAGACAGGUGUGAAAUCCCCGGGCUUAACCUGGGAAUGGCAUUGGUGACUGCACGGCUAGAGUGUGUCAGAGGGGGGUAGAAUUCCACGUGUAGCAGUGAAAUGCGUAGAGAUGUGGAGGAAUACCGAUGGCGAAGGCAGCCCCCUGGGAUAACACUGACGCUCAUGCACGAAAGCGUGGGGAGCAAACAGG
RNAcentral lists this ribosomal RNA (253 nucleotides) under uncultured bacterium. RNAcentral's name for it is "partial 16S ribosomal RNA". It matches the Rfam family "Bacterial small subunit ribosomal RNA", at positions 524 to 776 of the family's 1533-position model. The record is from RNAcentral.